GGCAUUUUAUUUCUAUACCACGAUUAGCCCCGGAAUCUAAUUGUGUUGAGAAUAAAAUAU
Molecule: regulatory RNA element, 60 nt
Organism: Pontibacillus chungwhensis BH030062
Lineage: Bacteria; Bacillati; Bacillota; Bacilli; Caryophanales; Bacillaceae
Rfam family: Ribosomal protein L13 leader
About the family: This family is a putative r-protein leader autoregulatory structure found in B. subtilis and other low-GC Gram-positive bacteria. It is located in the 5' untranslated regions of mRNAs encoding the L13-S9 (rplM-rpsI) ribosomal protein operon.
Source: Rfam